This is a small nucleolar RNA of Tachyglossus aculeatus (Australian echidna), 138 nucleotides long. Lineage: Eukaryota; Metazoa; Chordata; Mammalia; Monotremata; Tachyglossidae. The record is from RefSeq and is a predicted model, not a curated record.
CCCCUCUCAGGAUCGCACCUGGAAAGUUUCCAGUACUCUACCAGUCUCGGCUAUGGGAGGGAGAGUCAAAUAGAGGCCUACCCAUUCCGUUCCUAGCUUGACCAGAGGCUAGCGAGUGGAAAGCAAUCUGCUACAAGU